CACGGCUCUUAGCAGAGCCGUAGCGCUUCCACACAGCUGCUGUGGUCAGGAAGGAGACCACAGUAAGUUUCUCCCUGGUGGUUGUGGUCUUGUUUGCUGAAAUCAUCCUGCAGCAUUUUGGGAAAAGACAGCU
Molecule: small nucleolar RNA, 133 nt
Organism: Jaculus jaculus (lesser Egyptian jerboa)
Lineage: Eukaryota; Metazoa; Chordata; Mammalia; Rodentia; Dipodidae
Source: RefSeq, a predicted model, not a curated record